RNAcentral lists this ribosomal RNA (520 nucleotides) under uncultured Glomus. RNAcentral's name for it is "SSU rRNA". It matches the Rfam family "Eukaryotic small subunit ribosomal RNA", at positions 569 to 1091 of the family's 1831-position model. Lineage: Eukaryota; Fungi; Glomeromycota; Glomeromycetes; Glomerales; Glomeraceae. The record is from RNAcentral.
AGCAGCCGCGGUAAUUCCAGCUCCAAUAGCGUAUAUUAAAGUUGUUGCAGUUAAAAAGCUCGUAGUUGAAUUUCGGGGUUAGUAGGCUGGUCGUGCCACUGGUACGUACUGGUCUUACUGACUCCUCCUUCCUGAUGAACUGUAAUGCCAUUAAUUUGGUGCUGCAGGGAAACUGGACUGUUACUUUGAAAAAAUUAGAGUGUUUAAAGCAAGCUAACGCUUGAAUACAUUAGCAUGGGAUAAUGAAAUAGGACGUUCGAUCCUAUUUUGUUGGUUUCUAGGAUUGACGUAAUGAUUAAUAGGGAUAGUUGGGGGCAUUAGUAUUCAAUUGUCAGAGGUGAAAUUCUUGGAUUUAUUGAAGACUAACUACUGCGAAAGCAUUUGCCAAGGAUGUUUUCAUUAAUCAAGAACGAAAGUUAGGGAUCGAAGACGAUCAGAUACCGUCGUAGUCUUAACCAUAAACUAUAGCCGACUAGGGAUCGGAUGAUGUUAAUUUUUAAUGACUCAUUCGGCGCCUUAA